AGGUAAAAAGAUUAUUGUUUUUUAAAAGUAAACCCUUAUAUAUAUAUUAAAAAAGAUACCUGCCACCCCACCCCUUUGUUCUUUCUUGUUCAUUUGCAAACACACACUCUGCUCUUAUUCUCCUCCACCAAACCCAUCCACCCCCACUCUUGCUCUUUCUUGUUCAUCCGUAAACACCGACCCUGCUCUCGCUCUUUCUUUUUUCCCCCACGAAAUCCAUCUGCAUCAUUUUUUAUUCUGUGACCUCCUUUCCACCCGUCAAUUUCAUAAAUAGAAUUAUUUCAAAAUCAAUAAAUAGAACUACAAGUUGUAUGCUGCCGCAAGCAGAGCAAAAAAGAAACAGUAUCAAAUUUGAAGAAAAUCAAGAAAUUAUUGAUCAGCCUUACAACAACGAAAAAUAUCAAGUCUUGGAGAUUUUAAAAUUGAGAAAAUUAUUUGACUUGUGAAAAUUUGAAUUAGUUAUGUACUUCUUCUUCUCAAUAACGAAUUUUUAAAAAAGUAUGUCAAAAUUUAUAAUUUUUUGUACAUAUUUUUUUUUUUCUUGAAGAAAUUGGUAAAAUGUAAUAAAAGUGGAAGUGAAGGGUUAGAAGAAGGAGAAAGAGAACUGUAUUGGGUGCGUGGGUGGGGGAUGUAAGAAGAAAGAACAAGAGAAAG
RNAcentral lists this long non-coding RNA (654 nucleotides) under Capsicum annuum. RNAcentral describes it as "long non-coding RNA (CANN_LNC000521)". The record is from RNAcentral. Lineage: Eukaryota; Viridiplantae; Streptophyta; Magnoliopsida; Solanales; Solanaceae.